This 257-nucleotide ribosomal RNA is filed under the name uncultured bacterium. Its description in RNAcentral is "partial 16S ribosomal RNA". It matches the Rfam family "Archaeal small subunit ribosomal RNA", at positions 474 to 727 of the family's 1478-position model. The record is from RNAcentral.
UACCAGCACCCCCGAGUGGUCGGGACGUUUUAUUGGGCCUAAAGCAUCCGUAGCCGGUUCUACAAGUCUUCCGUUAAAUCCAACUGCUUAACAGGUGGGCUGCGGAAGAUACUAUAGAGCUAGGAGGCGGGAGAGGCAAGCGGUACUCGAUGGGUAGGGGUAAAAAUCCGUUGAUCCAUUGAAGACCACCAGUGGCGAAGGCGGCUUGCCAGAACGCGCUCGACGGUGAGGGAUGAAAGCUGGGGGGAGCAAACCGG